This 292-nucleotide ribosomal RNA is filed under the name uncultured bacterium. RNAcentral's name for it is "partial 16S ribosomal RNA". It matches the Rfam family "Bacterial small subunit ribosomal RNA", at positions 505 to 796 of the family's 1533-position model. The record is from RNAcentral.
GUGUCAGCCGCCGCGGUAAUACGGGGGGGGCAAGCGUUGUUCGGAAUUACUGGGCGUAAAGGGUUCGUAGGUGGCUCGCUAAGUCAGACGUGAAAUCCCUCAGCUUAACUGGGGAACUGCGUCUGAGACUGGCAAGCUCGAGUGCAGGAGAGGAACGCGGAAUUCCAGGUGUAGCGGUGAAAUGCGUAGAUAUCUGGAGGAACACCGGUGGCGAAGGCGGCGUUCUGGACUGCAACUGACACUGAUGAACGAAAGCCAGGGGAGCAAACGGGAUUAGAUACCCCCGUAGUCC